AGAGUUUGAUCCUGGCUCAGGAUGAACGCUGACGGCGUGCCUAAUACAUGCAAGUCGAGCGAACGGACGAGAAGCUUGCUUCUCUGAUGUUAGCGGCGGACGGGUGAGUAACACGUGGAUAACCUACCUAUAAGACUGGGAUAACUUCGGGAAACCGGAGCUAAUACCGGAUAAUAUUUUGAACCGCAUGGUUCAAAAGUGAAAGACGGUCUUGCUGUCACUUAUAGAUGGAUCCGCGCUGCAUUAGCUAGUUGGUAAGGUAACGGCUUACCAAGGCAACGAUGCAUAGCCGACCUGAGAGGGUGAUCGGCCACACUGGAACUGAGACACGGUCCAGACUCCUACGGGAGGCAGCAGUAGGGAAUCUUCCGCAAUGGGCGAAAGCCUGACGGAGCAACGCCGCGUGAGUGAUGAAGGUCUUCGGAUCGUAAAACUCUGUUAUUAGGGAAGAACAUAUGUGUAAGUAACUGUGCACAUCUUGACGGUACCUAAUCAGAAAGCCACGGCUAACUACGUGCCAGCAGCCGCGGUAAUACGUAGGUGGCAAGCGUUAUCCGGAAUUAUUGGGCGUAAAGCGCGCGUAGGCGGUUUUUUAAGUCUGAUGUGAAAGCCCACGGCUCAACCGUGGAGGGUCAUUGGAAACUGGAAAACUUGAGUGCAGAAGAGGAAAGUGGAAUUCCAUGUGUAGCGGUGAAAUGCGCAGAGAUAUGGAGGAACACCAGUGGCGAAGGCGACUUUCUGGUCUGUAACUGACGCUGAUGUGCGAAAGCGUGGGGAUCAAACAGGAUUAGAUACCCUGGUAGUCCACGCCGUAAACGAUGAGUGCUAAGUGUUAGGGGGUUUCCGCCCCUUAGUGCUGCAGCUAACGCAUUAAGCACUCCGCCUGGGGAGUACGACCGCAAGGUUGAAACUCAAAGGAAUUGACGGGGACCCGCACAAGCGGUGGAGCAUGUGGUUUAAUUCGAAGCAACGCGAAGAACCUUACCAAAUCUUGACAUCCUUUGACAACUCUAGAGAUAGAGCCUUCCCCUUCGGGGGACAAAGUGACAGGUGGUGCAUGGUUGUCGUCAGCUCGUGUCGUGAGAUGUUGGGUUAAGUCCCGCAACGAGCGCAACCCUUAAGCUUAGUUGCCAUCAUUAAGUUGGGCACUCUAAGUUGACUGCCGGUGACAAACCGGAGGAAGGUGGGGAUGACGUCAAAUCAUCAUGCCCCUUAUGAUUUGGGCUACACACGUGCUACAAUGGACAAUACAAAGGGCAGCGAAACCGCGAGGUCAAGCAAAUCCCAUAAAGUUGUUCUCAGUUCGGAUUGUAGUCUGCAACUCGACUACAUGAAGCUGGAAUCGCUAGUAAUCGUAGAUCAGCAUGCUACGGUGAAUACGUUCCCGGGUCUUGUACACACCGCCCGUCACACCACGAGAGUUUGUAACACCCGAAGCCGGUGGAGUAACCUUUUAGGAGCUAGCCGUCGAAGGUGGGACAAAUGAUUGGGGUGAAGUCGUAACAAGGUAGCCGUAUCGGAAGGUGCGGCUGGAUCACCU
This 1540-nucleotide ribosomal RNA is filed under the name Staphylococcus aureus. RNAcentral's name for it is "16S ribosomal RNA". It matches the Rfam family "Bacterial small subunit ribosomal RNA". Lineage: Bacteria; Bacillati; Bacillota; Bacilli; Caryophanales; Staphylococcaceae. The record is from RNAcentral.